AGUGUAAUAACUGGGUCAAAUGAUGAUUCUAUUCUAAGUUUUCUGAGGAAUCUCCAUACUGCUUUCCAGAUUGUUUGCACUAAUUUGCAGUCCCACUGGCAAU
Molecule: microRNA precursor, 103 nt
Filed under: Marmota monax (woodchuck)
Lineage: Eukaryota; Metazoa; Chordata; Mammalia; Rodentia; Sciuridae
Source: RNAcentral